UAGAGGGUGAGAAUCCCGUAUGUGACCGGCGACCAAGCCCAUGUGAAACUCCUUCGACGAGUCGAGUUGUUUGGGAAUGCAGCUCAAAAUGGGUGGUAAAUUUCAUCUAAAGCUAAAUACCGGCCAGAGACCGAUAGCGCACAAGUAGAGUGAUCGAAAGAUGAAAAGCACUUUGGAAAGAGAGUCAAAAAGUACGUGAAAUUGUUGAAAGGGAAGCGCUUGCAACCAGACCUGCCCGCGGGCGAUCAGCCGUCCUUCUGGGCGGUGCACUCGACCGCGAUCAGGCCAGCAUCGGUUCGGGCGGCCGGAUAAAGGCCCUGGGAACGUAGCUCCUUUCGGGGAGUGUUAUAGCCCUCGGUGCAAUGCGGCCAGCCUGGACCGAGGACCGCGCUUCGGCUAGGAUGCUGGCGUAAUGGUUGUAAGCGGCCCGUCUUGAAACACGGACCAAGGAGUCUAACAUCUAUGCGAGUGUUUGGGUGUCAAACCCAUGCGCGUAAUGAAAGUGAACGGAGGUGGGAACCCUUCAGGGCGCACCAUCGACCGAUCCAGAUGUCUUCGGAUGGAUUUGAGUACGAGCAUAGCUGUUGGGACCCGAAAGAUGGUGAACUAUGCCUGAAUAGGGUGAAGCCAGAGGAAACUCUGGUGGAGGCUCGCAGCGGUUCUGACGUGCAAAUCGAUCGUCAAAUUUGGGCAUAGGGGG
Molecule: ribosomal RNA, 700 nt
Filed under: Caloplaca sp.
Lineage: Eukaryota; Fungi; Ascomycota; Lecanoromycetes; Teloschistales; Teloschistaceae
Description: partial large subunit ribosomal RNA
Rfam family: Eukaryotic large subunit ribosomal RNA
Source: RNAcentral